This 300-nucleotide ribosomal RNA is filed under the name Bacillus cereus. Its description in RNAcentral is "partial 23S ribosomal RNA". It matches the Rfam family "Bacterial large subunit ribosomal RNA", at positions 1622 to 1902 of the family's 2925-position model. Lineage: Bacteria; Bacillati; Bacillota; Bacilli; Caryophanales; Bacillaceae. The record is from RNAcentral.
AAGCAUCAGGUAACAUCAAAUCGUACCCCAAACCGACACAGGUGGUCAGGUAGAGAAUACCAAGGCGCUUGAGAGAACUCGGGUGAAGGAACUAGGCAAAAUGGUGCCGUAACUUCGGGAGAAGGCACGCUGAUAUGUAGGUGAAGCGACUUGCUCGUGGAGCUGAAAUCAGUCGAAGAUACCAGCUGGCUGCAACUGUUUAUUAAAAACACAGCACUGUGCAAACACGAAAGUGGACGUAUACGGUGUGACGCCUGCCCGGUGCUGGAAGGUUAAUUGAUGGGGUCAGCCGCAAGGCGA